UUACCUACGGGAGGCAGCAGUGAGGAAUAUUGGUCAAUGGGCGGAAGCCUGAACCAGCCAAGUCGCGUGAGGGAAUAAGGCCCUACGGGUCGUAAACCUCUUUUGCCGGGGAGCAAGGGCCGGGAUGAGUCCCGGUCCGGAGAGUACCCGGAGAAAAAGCAUCGGCUAACUCCGUGCCAGCAGCCGCGGUAAUACGGAGGAUGCGAGCGUUAUCCGGAUUUAUUGGGUUUAAAGUGUGCGUAGGCGGGCUUUUAAGUCCGCGGUAAUAACUCGGGGCUCACCCCCGUCCGCCCGUUGA
Molecule: ribosomal RNA, 298 nt
Filed under: uncultured bacterium
Lineage: Bacteria
Description: partial 16S ribosomal RNA
Rfam family: Bacterial small subunit ribosomal RNA
Source: RNAcentral